AUGGAGAACCCGGCGUUCACGGCGGAGCUCGACGUCACACGGGGUUCAUCCUACGGCAGGUUCGUCUCCGGCGUGCGCGACCAGCUCGUGCUCCAUGCCGGCGCGACGCGCCACCUGGAGCUCGUCUUGCUUCCAGCCCAGUCCGAGGACCCCGGCAAGGCUCCAUGGUUCGGCGUCACGCUCCGUUGCGGCUCCGGGCGCUCGGCGCUGCUCCGCAUACGCGCAGACAACCUCUACCUCUCCGGUUACCGGAGCUCAGACGGUCUGUGGUCCGAGUUCCUCGGUGGCUCUCUCAUCGCUGGCGCGACGCCGAUUUCGUUCGGCGAUAGCUACGGCGACAUGGCGAGAGUGGCCGAGACGGCACUCGAGGCACUCACCCUCGGCAAGGAGGAGCUCCAAGCCGCGGCGGAGCGCCUCACGGCCAGCGCCGGCACUCAGCAGGAGAUCGCAAGAUCGCUGAUGACCAUGUCGGUGAUGGUUUGUGAGGCCAUCAGGUUCAGGAGCGUCGGCGGCGCGCUCAGCCACAUGAUGUGCAACGCUGCCCGGCGAGGGGUGCUGCCGGCGCACAUGGUCGAGCAGGUGAAGAACUGGAGGAGCCUGUCCGAGUACUGGCUCGGGGCCGUCCUCUACGCACAGCCGUUCCUGCCGUACAUAGAGGCCGACGGCAGCCAGCACUAUGGCCACAUCCCCCAGCACCUGCUCGCGCCGGCGAAGAUCGACUGCCAGGACCACGCCAUGAUGGCGCUCGGCGUCGCGCUGAACCGGCAGAGGGGGCUGCAGGACAAGCACCCGGCGGCCUUCGACGAGCAUUGGCGCGCCGUGCGCGCCCACGCUCGCAAGCUUGACAGGGAAAGAGCAUCUGCAUCCGGCACAUGA
This 876-nucleotide ribosomal RNA is filed under the name Triticum aestivum (bread wheat). RNAcentral describes it as "partial small subunit ribosomal RNA". Lineage: Eukaryota; Viridiplantae; Streptophyta; Magnoliopsida; Poales; Poaceae. The record is from RNAcentral.